This 235-nucleotide ribosomal RNA is filed under the name uncultured bacterium. Its description in RNAcentral is "partial 16S ribosomal RNA". It matches the Rfam family "Bacterial small subunit ribosomal RNA", at positions 119 to 354 of the family's 1533-position model. The record is from RNAcentral.
UGGCAACCUGGCCUCGUACAGGGGGAUAACACUUAGAAAUAGGUGCUAAUACCGCAUAAGCGCACGGGGCUGCAUGGCCCAGUGUGAAAAACUCCGGUGGUAUAAGAUGGACCCGCGUCUGAUUAGCUUGUUGGCGGGGUAACGGCCCACCAAGGCGACGAUCAGUAGCCGGCCUGAGAGGUGGACGGCCACAUUGGGACUGAGACACGGCCCAAACUCCUACGGAAGGCAGCAG